RNAcentral lists this ribosomal RNA (253 nucleotides) under uncultured bacterium. RNAcentral's name for it is "partial 16S ribosomal RNA". It matches the Rfam family "Bacterial small subunit ribosomal RNA", at positions 524 to 776 of the family's 1533-position model. The record is from RNAcentral.
UACAGAGGUCUCAAGCGUUGUUCGGAUUCAUUGGGCGUAAAGGGUGCGUAGGCGGCGCGGUAAGUCGGGUGUGAAAUCUCGGAGCUUAACUCCGAAACUGCAUUCGAUACUGCCGUGCUUGAGGACUGGAGAGGAGACUGGAAUUUACGGUGUAGCGGUGAAAUGCGUAGAUAUCUGGAGGAACACCGGUGGCGAAGGCGGCGCUCUGGAACGUUUCUGACACUGAGGCUCGAAAGCGUGGGGAGCAAACAGG